This 4000-nucleotide long non-coding RNA is filed under the name Sus scrofa (pig). RNAcentral describes it as "lncRNA (ENSSSCG00000056867.1)". Lineage: Eukaryota; Metazoa; Chordata; Mammalia; Artiodactyla; Suidae. The record is from RNAcentral.
UGUGUCUAGGCUGUGUGUUCCAGGGCGAUGACUCAACAAGUCUGGGCCUUUCAGGGGAUUAACUGGUUCCAAGUCACACGUGUAGAUCAUGUAUUUCUUAAACACACAGAGAGAGACCUUAGCAUGCGCCAGGUGCAGAGUCUAAGCAGUUUAUACACAUCCUCUCGGUCGCUCUUUUCAGUAACUCUGGGUUAAGUGCCACGAUCAGCCCAUUGCACAGAUGACAAUGAGGAGGCGGCGAGCAUUAAGGUGUACGCUUCGGGAGCGGCGGACCUGGGAUUCAGACUCUGGCAGCCGGCUCCAGGCCCCUGUUCUCAACUCCCUGGCUGUACAGCCUCACUAAACAAACAUCUGGGCCCUGUCAUCCAUCUGCUGAUGGAGACUGGCCACAGCAGGGGACACAGCCAGGACCUCUCCGUCCUCCCUGCUGCUCUGGCUCAGGCUGGGAGGCCUCGUGCAACUCUGGGCCUCUCUAGGCCUCCCAUUCCGAAUGGACAGAAUGCCCACCCCUUCCAGCUUCAAAAUUCUGUGACUCUCUGAUUUCUGAGCAGUUAGCAGCUGUCCCGACCUGCCAGCUGGAGCCCAGAGUCAGACUGGGGACAAAGGUGCCAGCUUGGCCCCUCUGCCCUCUGGGAUUCCGUCUUGUACAUAAAACGAGGCUUUCUCUUGGCACACAUUAUAAAUAAAUGGAACAGGAGAAAAGGGCCACCUCUUUGGAACCCCUGGAAGAAAUCCCAGGGACCACGGUCCAGGGGUCAGCAGGAAAGUCACCAUUGUCACUGUGGCCAGAUACCCUGGGCUGUGGGUUCUCAGCCAGGCCAGAAAAAAGCUGUGUCAGCAAAACUGUCCCUCAGGAAUGUUGGGGGCAGGGCGAGGGGGUUUCCCUGCCUCUGGCAUUUUUAAUACCUGCUGAGAGGAGGGGGCCCGAUUAGGAAAACUUGAAAGGGUGAGAUCUGUUUCCUUCUGUCCCAGCCCAACUCUGGGCUUCUGGUAAAACAGUCCUGGCUCUGGAAAGGCAGGUCCACUGUGGGGUUACACGUGGAUCCCUUCGGGCUUGGCCCAUGCGGUUCCCUCUGUUUCAAACCCUUUCCAGGCUGUCUCUUGUGAAGCCAGCUCCCCUCGGCUUUAUGGUCUUGGCUGCAGUGUCUCCCCCCAGCGUCUUCCCUGCCUCCUUCUUCUAAGGGAGGCGUCUGUGCUAUUCUUGGUCUCAGCUCGCUGGCAUUGGAAUUAGCCAUUGAUUUUCUUUCUUUUUCUGGGGCCCACUCCCUUCGCGGUCCCCCAGCACCUGGGCUCCAUCCUGGGGGAACCAGGUCUGUCUCGCUCACUGUGUAUAAGCAGGGCCUGGCGCACUGUCCGGGGGCCACGCCCCUGGGUCCCUGUCCUGUUUCAUCCUCUCCAGCUGUAUGAGCCUUGGGCAAGCCUCUUAGCUCCCUAAGCCUCAGUUUUCUGCCCUGUGAAGUGGGGUUGUGAUCCUCAGUGGACUUUUUGGCUUGGAUCACAGGGGCCUGGCACACAGUGGGCAACAGUGUGUGUGUGUGUGUCUGUCUGUCUGUCUGUCUCCAUGUCCUUCCUGGCCCUGUCCAGUCAUUGAGGAGAGUCUGCUACUGCCUGUCUACACGCCUCCACGGUGUGAGGGCACCGUGAGGAGGUCGCACACAGUCUGAGGGCCGACAGGAGAAAGACGGAGGUGGCGUCUUCUUGGCUGAGCUGGAAUCGUCCAGAGAAUGUCCCGCGUAUAUGCCACAUGUGUGAAAGUGUGUGUGUGUGUGUUGGCGUGAGUAUGUAUUGUGUUGGUGUGUGCAGGUUGUAUGCAUCUGUUCGUAAGUACACAUGUGCACACAUAUGUUAGCGUGUAUGUGUGCAUGCGUUCACAAGUGUGUGUGCAUGUGUUAUUGUGUACAAUGUGUUUGUGUAUACGUGUAUGUGUGCAUGUGUUAGUGCUUGCAUGUGUGUGUGUGUGUACGCAUGCACGCAUCCCUGUGCACAUCUAUGUGUGUGUGUGUGCUCGUGCGUGUGCCUUCGUGGGUAUAUAAAGUGGGCCAGGAGGAAGAGGAGAGAGGCAGCCGCUGGAUGUUUGGUUUCCUUCAAUGACCCAGUGACUCAGGAAAGUCCUCUGGCACAUAUCUCGGGAGCCAGGGAGCAGGUGAGCCCAGGUCAGAGGAGGAGGAAGGCAGGUGACAACGGUUGGUCACUUGUGGGUGGAUGACAGGGGUGGGGCCACUGGCACAACUUGACACAUCAGGCUGACAUCACAGCUCUGCCAUUCACCAGCUGUGUGGCUUUGGGCUGCUACUUAACCUCUCUGAGCCUCAGGUGCCCCAUCUGUAAAGCAAGGAUAACGAGAUGGCACACGGGGCUGGGAGGAAGGUGAAACGGGGACGCAGGAGCCACUGUAACACUUGUGCACAGGAGCUGAGUGUUAAACACACACAGGUCCCUGUCCCGCACAGACGCAGACUGGCCGAAUUUUUGCAACAAGCUGGUGCGGUAGGGUCUGUGACAGCCUCCAUUUCCAGGUGAGAAGACAGAGGAGGGAGGUAAAGAUGUGAGGUCACACAGAGGGUGGAGCUGGGGCUCAGCCCAGGCGAGGGUCUCUGUCGCUCCCUGGCUUUCUCAGCCAUUAGCUUGAGGAUGCCCGUGUGAUGCCCACGUGUCCUCACACAUGCCCCCAGUUGCACACCUAAUGAGCCUGAGACAUGAAACGGCCUGAGAACCUGCCCAAGGUGAGGCGACAUCUCAGGGUUCGUUCCUCUUAACGUCACGUCGGAGCCACGGCCCCCAGACCCCAGCAGAGCCAGCCUCUGCCUCCCUGAGCCGCUCGGCCCUCCCUGCAGCUGGAGAGAGGGUGCCGGGCGCCUCCCGGGCCCACGGAUCUCUGCCCCGCUCUCUCCAUCCUCUUUCCUAGGACCUGACUCUGGUGGUCCUGAAAAGCCACGACAGAUGCUCGCGGCAGCCCCCGCGCUGGCAGCGGGGAGACAACACCCACCUCGGGGCCGGAGGAGACCAGAAGGCCGUCAGCGCGGAACAUCUGGGCACAUCUCAAAUGUGCGGCUUCCUGUAGGGUCGCCUUGGCCCGGAAACCACAGGAAUCUGCCCUCGCGCUGUGGGGGAGAGCGAGUUUCCAGGCUCUGAGCACUUAUCACACGUCGUUUUGUGUGUCUGCCUCUGGGUGGCUUCCCCUGCACUGUCCCACGGCGUCACAGGGCCAGGGACACGGCUGGGGCCUGAUCCACGCUUGAACAGGGGUUGCCAGACUCUAUCCAAAACCUCACGGCGCUUUCCAAGUUCCAGCAUCGCCUGGCUGCUCCCGGCAGCUUCCAGUCUUGCAUUUCUCCUGCUGCCAGUGAUUCAGACCAAAGCCUUCCACGUGCCCCCUGCCUCCCCCGACCCCAUCAGCUGACUUCCCUUCUCACUGGUACCCGCGCCCGUUUCCUCCUCCCUCCACCCACAUACCCCCCCCCCAGGACCCGUUUACCUUCGGAAGCUGCUCCCCCCGGUUCCUCUUUUAGAGGCUACGAGCGUGCUGUGUGUUUGGCCUCUGGCUCACGGAGGACCAGAAAAACAAAAUUUAUCAUCUGACUGUCCUAUUUUUUUUUUUUCUUUCUUUCCAUUUUAUUUCCCCCUAAGAAUGAAGCCAGCACUUCGCCGCCAUGCUCCGAGGGAGCAUCAGACAUGGCAGGCCACAGGCAAAAGCGUCUCCUCCUCCUUAGAGAGAAGGAAUGCAGCCGUUAACAAUAAAAAAAAAAAAAUCCCUGGGAUUUAUGGAGGCCUUGGGCUUAUGAGCCGUCUCACAUCCGUUAGCCAGCGUGACACAGCCAUCCAGGGGGGCGAAGCUGGAGUCCCAGCUCCAUCUGAGAGACAGAGAAACUGGCUCCGGAGCACAGGUCCUGGGACCCGGCUAAGCCCCCAGCUGCCCAAGCUGGUGAAAUUUCCUUGCAUAUGUAUGUAUGAACCGGGCUGAUUUGCUCAAUGAAAACAUUAAAAAUACAUGGUUUGUUGG